GAGGACUCAAGGGUAGAGCAUCCCGAUUUAUCGGGAGGGUCGGUGGUUCGAGCCCACCCGCGCUCA
Molecule: transfer RNA, 66 nt
Filed under: Ignavibacteriaceae bacterium
Lineage: Bacteria; Pseudomonadati; Ignavibacteriota; Ignavibacteria; Ignavibacteriales; Ignavibacteriaceae
Description: tRNA-OTHER
Source: RNAcentral